RNAcentral lists this ribosomal RNA (554 nucleotides) under Hepatozoon canis. RNAcentral's name for it is "bacterial SSU rRNA". It matches the Rfam family "Eukaryotic small subunit ribosomal RNA", at positions 230 to 773 of the family's 1831-position model. Lineage: Eukaryota; Apicomplexa; Hepatozoidae. The record is from RNAcentral.
UUUUACAGUAUGAAAAUUGGUGAUUUAUAAUAACUUAGCAAAUCGCAUAGUGAAAACAGGCGAUAAAUCAUUCAAGUUUCUGACCUAUCAGCUUUCGACGGUAUGGUAUUGGCUUACCGUGGCAGUGACGGUUAACGGGGGAUUAGGGUUCGAUUCCGGAGAGGGAGCCUGAGAAACGGCUACCACAUCUAAGGAAGGCAGCAGGCGCGCAAAUUACCCAAUUCUAACAGUUUGAGAGAGGUAGUAACAAGAAAUAACAAUACAAGGCAGUUAAAAUGCUUUGUAAUUGGAAUGAUAGAAAUUUAAACCCUUUUUAAAGUAUCAAUUGGAGGGCAAGUCUGGUGCCAGCAGCCGCGGUAAUUCCAGCUCCAAUAGCGUAUAUUAAAAUUGUUGCAGUUAAAAAGCUCGUAGUUGAAGUUCUGCUAAAAGUAACCGGUCUGCUUUGAAUAAAAGUGGUAUCUUGGUAUGUAUUUAGCAAUGAUGUCCUUUGAAGUGUUUUUUUCUUUAUUGUAAUAAAGCAUAUUCAGGACUUUUACUCUGAGAAAAUUAGAGUG